AUUGAACGCUGGCGGCGUGCCUAACACAUGCAAGUCGAGCGGUAACAGGUGUAGCAAUACAUGCUGACGAGCGGCGGACGGGUGAGUAACGCUUGGGAAUCUGCCUAUUAGUGGGGGACAACCCGGGGAAACUCGGGCUAAUACCGCAUACGCACUACGGUGGAAAGCCGGGGACCGCAAGGCCUGGCGCUAACAGAUGAGCCCAAGUCGGAUUAGCUAGUUGGUAGGGUAACGGCCUACCAAGGCGACGAUCCGUAACUGGUCUGAGAGGACGACCAGUCACACCGGAACUGAGACACGGUCCGGACUCCUACGGGAGGCAGCAGUGGGGAAUAUUGGACAAUGGCGAAAGCCUGAUCCAGCGACGCCGCGUGGGUGAAGAAGGCCUGCGGGUUGUAAAGCCCUUUCAGUGGGGAAGAAAAGCCUCGAGCUAACACCUCGGGGUCUUGACGUAACCCAUAGAAGAAGCACCGGCUAACUCUGUGCCAGCCGCCGCAGUAAG
This 502-nucleotide ribosomal RNA is filed under the name uncultured bacterium. RNAcentral describes it as "bacterial SSU rRNA". It matches the Rfam family "Bacterial small subunit ribosomal RNA", at positions 29 to 524 of the family's 1533-position model. The record is from RNAcentral.